CAAGUCAUUUCAAGCAUUUCGCAAAAAUCAUAUUUCCCAAUAAGCUACAAACACAAGAUUUCAUAAUAAUAAAAUCUUACUCCGCAA
Long non-coding RNA from Frieseomelitta varia, 87 nucleotides. RefSeq lists it as uncharacterized. The record is from RefSeq and is a predicted model, not a curated record. The transcript has 3 exons. NCBI's taxonomy places the organism in Eukaryota, Metazoa, Arthropoda, Insecta, Hymenoptera, Apidae.